This 550-nucleotide ribosomal RNA is filed under the name uncultured bacterium. Its description in RNAcentral is "bacterial SSU rRNA". It matches the Rfam family "Bacterial small subunit ribosomal RNA", at positions 355 to 896 of the family's 1533-position model. The record is from RNAcentral.
UAGGGAAUCUUCCACAAUGGGCGCAAGCCUGAUGGAGCAACACCGCGUGAGUGAAGAAGGGUUUCGGCUCGUAAAGCUCUGUUGUUAAAGAAGAACACGUAUGAGAGUAACUGUUCAUACGUUGACGGUAUUUAACCAGAAAGUCACGGCUAACUACGUGCCAGCAGCCGCGGUAAUACGUAGGUGGCAAGCGUUAUCCGGAUUUAUUGGGCGUAAAGAGAGUGCAGGCGGUUUUCUAAGUCUGAUGUGAAAGCCUUCGGCUUAACCGGAGAAGUGCAUCGGAAACUGGAUAACUUGAGUGCAGAAGAGGGUAGUGGAACUCCAUGUGUAGCGGUGGAAUGCGUAGAUAUAUGGAAGAACACCAGUGGCGAAGGCGGCUACCUGGUCUGCAACUGACGCUGAGACUCGAAAGCAUGGGUAGCGAACAGGAUUAGAUACCCUGGUAGUCCAUGCCGUAAACGAUGAGUGCUAGGUAUUGGAGGGUUUCCGCCCUUCAGUGCCGGAGCUAACGCAUUAAGCACUCCGCCUGGGGAGUACGACCGCAAGGUUG